Molecule: long non-coding RNA, 1009 nt
Filed under: Marmota monax (woodchuck)
Lineage: Eukaryota; Metazoa; Chordata; Mammalia; Rodentia; Sciuridae
Source: RNAcentral
CGAUGGACAGUGGGUUGCAAGGUAGGUGGUCCUCCCUUGAGGGAAGGGGAGGGAAGCAUCCCCCCACCACCACAGUUGGCUGUGGAUCCCACUGUGCAGAGAGAGCCAGGGCCUUUGUCCCUCCCUUCCCCGUCUGGUAGGUGAGAGGGCUGUGGAGGAGGCCGUGCCCUGCAGGAGCUCAAGCUGGUGCCCUUCCAGAGGCAUGAGCUUCAGCACACACAGGACCGCUGGCCCUGUUCUGGAGACCCUUCGGAUGCCCAUUUAUCAUGGACGUGACAUAUGCAAAAAGAGUGUCUCAGCUGACUCAGGGGCAUGUGUGCUGGUGCUGCCAUGGUUGGCUCUGGACUCACCACCAUCUUUCCACUUGCCACCGAUGACCAGCAGGACUGUCCACACCCAGCCGCAGGCCCUGGGGACCCGGUGUGAACUUGCCUUUGCUGGUGCUAGUUCCCCUUGUGCCACCUCCCCACUCCCCGGACGCCACAGGGCCACCUGUUCUCCACACUUCCCAGUCUCCCAGCCUCCAGGGAGGUGGGCCUCCAGAGAGCCUGUGCCCACAGGGUGUAGGCUGGAGAGGCCACUCUCAGACGUGUCCCUGAGAACUGACCCAUGUAACGGUCCACUUGCUCUGGCCCUGGUGCUGCAGCCUGGGCAGUUGGGAGGUCCUCUGUGGGCUGCAGAGGGGAGGUGGCUUCCCAGGGGAUGGCCUAGUGGUGGCACUGGGGGAUGACAAGGGCGAGAAAUGGAUUCCUGUAGAGUCGCCGGGCUCCCAUGGCUGCUUGUUGCCCUGGCCCAGCCUGUCCUGACCCGGCCAGCAAGGUGCUGCUCUCCAGGAAGGCUCCACUCCCGCCAGCCAGUGGCUUCUCCAGGGCUCUGGGGACAGCCUGAGGCCAGGUGCAUCCUCCGCCUCGCCACCCUCCGUGGUGCUGUGUGGCCCUCUGGCCUCUGCCAUCACCUGCUGAGAUGAAGCCAGAAGAAUGGAUUUUCUGCAAAAAUAUCUAAGGAGUAA